GACGAACGCUGGCGGCGUGCUUAACACAUGCAAGUCGAACGGAAAGGCCCUGCUUUUGUGGGGUGCUCGAGUGGCGAACGGGUGAGUAACACGUGAGUAACCUGCCCUUGACUUUGGGAUAACUUCAGGAAACUGGGGCUAAUACCGGAUAGAAGCUCCUGCUGCAUGGUGGGGGUUGGAAAGUUUCGGCGGUUGGGGAUGGACUCGCGGCUUAUCAGCUUGUUGGUGGGGUAGUGGCUUACCAAGGCUUUGACGGGUAGCCGGCCUGAGAGGGUGACCGGCCACAUUGGGACUGAGAUACGGCCCAGACUCCUACGGGAGGCAGCAGUGGGGAAUAUUGCGCAAUGGGCGGAAGCCUGAUGCAGCAACGCCGCGUGCGGGAUGACGGCCUUCGGGUUGUAAACCGCUUUCGCCUGUGACGAAGCGUGAGUGACGGUAAUGGGUAAAGAAGCACCGGCUAACUACGUG
Molecule: ribosomal RNA, 468 nt
Filed under: uncultured bacterium
Lineage: Bacteria
Description: partial 16S ribosomal RNA
Rfam family: Bacterial small subunit ribosomal RNA
Source: RNAcentral